UUAAACAGCACGUGAAAUUGUUGAAAGGGAAGCGCUUGCGACCAGACUCGCCCGCGGGGUUCAGCCGGCAUUCGUGCCGGUGUACUUCCCCGUGGGCGGGCCAGCGUCGGUUUGGGCGGCCGGUCAAAGGCCCCUGGAAUGUAGUGCCCUCCGGGGCACCUUAUAGCCAGGGGUGCAAUGCGGCCAGCCUGGACCGAGGAACGCGCUUCGGCACGGACGCUGGCAUAAUGGUCGUAAACGACCCGUCUUGAAACACGGACCAAGACGCGGG
This 271-nucleotide ribosomal RNA is filed under the name Aspergillus sp. BAB-399. Its description in RNAcentral is "partial 28S ribosomal RNA". It matches the Rfam family "Eukaryotic large subunit ribosomal RNA", at positions 388 to 677 of the family's 3401-position model. The record is from RNAcentral. Lineage: Eukaryota; Fungi; Ascomycota; Eurotiomycetes; Eurotiales; Aspergillaceae.